RNAcentral lists this ribosomal RNA (547 nucleotides) under uncultured bacterium. RNAcentral describes it as "bacterial SSU rRNA". It matches the Rfam family "Bacterial small subunit ribosomal RNA", at positions 355 to 896 of the family's 1533-position model. The record is from RNAcentral.
UGGGGAAUAUUGCGCAAUGGGGGGAACCCUGACGCAGCCAUGCCGCGUGAAUGAAGAAGGCCUUCGGGUUGUAAAGUUCUUUCGGUAUUGAGGAAGGUUGAUGUGUUAAUAGCACAUCAAAUUGACGUUAAAUACAGAAGAAGCACCGGCUAACUCCGUGCCAGCAGCCGCGGUAAUACGGAGGGUGCGAGCGUUAAUCGGAAUAACUGGGCGUAAAGGGCACGCAGGCGGUUAUUUAAGUGAGGUGUGAAAGCCCCGGGCCUAACCUGGGAAUUGCAUUUCAGACUGGGUAACUAGAGUACUUUAGGGAGGGGUAGAAUUCCACGUGUAGCGGUGAAAUGCGUAGAGAUGUGGAGGAAUACCGAAGGCGAAGCNAGCCCCUUGGGAAUGUACUGACGCUCAUGUGCGAAAGCGUGGGGAGCAAACAGGAUUAGAUACCUUGGUAGUCCACGCUGUAAACGCUGUCGAUUUGGGGGUUAGGGUUUAACUCUGGCGCCCGUAGCUAACGUGAUAAAUCGACCGCCUGGGGAGUACGGCCGCAAGNUUA